This 1419-nucleotide unclassified non-coding RNA is filed under the name uncultured Neocallimastigales. RNAcentral's name for it is "partial contains small subunit ribosomal RNA, internal transcribed spacer 1, 5.8S ribosomal RNA, internal transcribed spacer 2, and large subunit ribosomal RNA". The stretch from base 662 to 1419 matches the Rfam family "Eukaryotic large subunit ribosomal RNA", at positions 1 to 617 of the family's 3401-position model. The record is from RNAcentral. Lineage: Eukaryota; Fungi; Neocallimastigomycota; Neocallimastigomycetes; Neocallimastigales.
UUUCCGUAGGUGAACCUGCGGAAGGAUCAUUAAAAAAUUGGACUCCAUUGGUGAGUUCAUUAAUAAUCCCUACCCUUUGUGAAUUUGUUUGUUUGAAUAAUUUUUUUUCCAAAAAAAAUUAUUGAAUGUCUUUCCUUGUUUUGGUGGAGCUUGUAAAGUGAAACCAGGCAGGGGAAUGGCAAACAAUAAUUAUUUUUGAAAAAGACCUUUUUUUAAAAUUAAACUUUUUGUAUUCAUUUGUCUAAAAUUAAUUUUUAUAAUAUAAAAACAACUUUUGACAAUGGAUCUCUUGGUUCUCGCAACGAUGAAGAACGCAGCAAAAUGCGAUAAGUAGUGUGAAUUGCAGAAUACGUGAAUCAUCAAAUCUUCGAACGCAUAUUGCACUUUUUUAGUUUACUAAAAAAGUAUGUCUGUUUGAGUAUCAGUAAAAUAUUCUCAUAAAAAACAUUGUUUUUUUUAUGGUUAUGAGUGUUUUACAACGAUAACAAGUUGUUUCACUUUAAAUUCUUUGUUAUCAAAAAAAUCAUUAAAAGCUAAUUUUAAAGAUUUUUUAAAAUUGGAUAAAAUUUUCCCGUAAAAAGGAAUAACCUAAACAAUUUCAAAAAAUUAAAAUUGGUUUGAUUUUUUUUGAAACCCAAAGGAAAAAAAAACGAAAUUAACUUGAUCUCAAAUCAGAUAAGAGUACCCGCUGAACUUAAGCAUAUCAAUAAGCGGAGGAAAAGAAACUAACUAGGAUUCCCUCAGUAACGGCGAGUGAAGCGGGAAGAGCUCAAAUUUGAAAUCUUCAAGGUUUUACCUUGACGAAUUGUAGUUUAAAGAAGUGUUUUCUGUUGGAGUUUUGGUAAAAGUUCUUUGGAAAAGGACAUCAUAGAGGGUGAGAAUCCCGUAUUUGACCAUUAUCUCCAGCUUUGUGAUACACUUUCAAAGAGUCGGAUUGUUUGGGAAUGCAGUCCAAAAUGGGUGGUAAAUUUCAUCUAAAGCUAAAUAUUGGCGAGAGACCGAUAGCGAACAAGUACCGUGAGGGAAAGAUGAAAAGAACUUUGAAAAGAGAGUUAAACAGUACGUGAAAUUGUCAAAAGGGAAGCGUUUGACACCAGUGUUGUUUUCUCGAAAAUCAAUUAAAAAAAGUUGGAUUUUGUGUUGUAUUGGCCUUAACAGCUUGCUUCACUCUUUUCUUGCUUUUUUUAAUGCACCUUUCGUUUAACAAGUCAACAUCAGUUUCUUUUGUUGUAAAAGGGUCAUUGGAAGGUGGCUUUCUCUUCGGAGAAAGUGUUUAUAGCCUUUGAUCUCUGCAAUCGGAGAGACUGAGGUCUGCAGCGUAGAUCCUUCGGGGUUAGAUACAUUUGUGCUAAGCUACAGCUUUUCAUAGACAACUUGUUGACUAUGUUUAGUCUUGUAACUUACCCGCUUAUGCUAUUU